AGAAUAACAUGAUUUCCCUAGUAACGGCGAGUGAAGAGGAAAGAGCUCAAAGUUGGAACCUGUUUGGCCUAGCUAAACCGGAUUGUAGACUGUAGAAGUGUUUUCCAGGCAAGCCGAGUAAAUAAGUCCUUUGGAACAGGGCAUCAUAGAGGGUGAGAAUCCCGUCUUUGGCUUGAGCAUUUGCCUUUUGUGAUACGCUUUCAAAGAGUCAGGUUGUUUGGGAAUGCAGCCUAAAUUGGGUGGUAAAUCUCACCUAAAGCUAAAUAUUGGCGAGAAACCGAUAGCGAACAAGUACCGUGAGGGAAAGAUGAAAAGAACUUUGAAAAGAGAGUUAAACAGUAUGUGAAAUUGUUAAAAGGGAACCGUUUGGAGCCAGACUGGCUUGUCUGUAAUCAAUCUAGGCUUCGGCCUGGAUGCACUUGCAGGCUAUGCCUGCCAACGACAAUUUGACUUGAGGGAAAAAACUAGGGGAAAUGUGGCCCACUUGUGGGUGUUAUAGUCCCUUAGAAAAUACCUUGGGUUGGAUUGAGGAACGCAGCGAAUGCUUAUUGGCGAGUUUUCCAGGAAGGUUUUCUGAGGUACUACGGUAUCAAGGUUGAUCUUUUUGGUUAUACUUCUAUUCGCUUAGGUUGUUGGCUUAAUGACUCUAAAUGACCCGUCUUGAAACACGGACCAAGGAGUCCACCAUUAGUGCGAGUAUUUGGGUGCCAAACCCAUAUGCGUAAGGAAACUGAUUGAUACGAAUCCAUUAAGGAGGCAGUAUCGUCCGGCGCUGACGUUUUAUACUGAAUUGACCGAGACAAAGCACUAAUGAUGGGACCCGAAAGAUGGUGAACUAUGCCUGAAUAGGGUGAAGCCAGAGGAAACUCUGGUGGAGGCUCGUAGCGAUUCUGACGUGCAAAUCGAUCGUCAAAUUUGGGUAUAGGGGCGAAAGACUAAUCGA
RNAcentral lists this ribosomal RNA (943 nucleotides) under Rhizopus arrhizus. RNAcentral's name for it is "LSU rRNA". It matches the Rfam family "Eukaryotic large subunit ribosomal RNA", at positions 62 to 938 of the family's 3401-position model. Lineage: Eukaryota; Fungi; Mucoromycota; Mucoromycetes; Mucorales; Rhizopodaceae. The record is from RNAcentral.